RNAcentral lists this ribosomal RNA (486 nucleotides) under uncultured bacterium. Its description in RNAcentral is "partial 16S ribosomal RNA". It matches the Rfam family "Bacterial small subunit ribosomal RNA", at positions 30 to 507 of the family's 1533-position model. The record is from RNAcentral.
AUUGAACGCUGGCGGCAUGCCUUACACAUGCAAGUCGAACGGCAGCACGGGUGCUUGCACCUGGUGGCGAGUGGCGAACGGGUGAGUAAUACAUCGGAACAUGUCCUGUAGUGGGGGAUAGCCCGGCGAAAGCCGGAUUAAUACCGCAUACGAUCUACGGAUGAAAGCGGGGGACCUGCGGGCCUCGCGCUAUAGGGUUGGCCGAUGGCUGAUUAGCUAGUUGGUGGGGUAAAGGCCUACCAAGGCGACGAUCAGUAGCUGGUCUGAGAGGACGACCAGCCACACUGGGACUGAGACACGGCCCAGACUCCUACGGGAGGCAGCAGUGGGGAAUUUUGGACAAAGGGCGAAAGCCUGAUCCAGCAAUGCCGCGUGUGUGAAGAAGGCCUUCGGGUUGUAAAGCACUUUUGUCCGGAAAGAAAUCCUUGGCCCUAAUACGGUCGGGGGAUGACGGUACCGGAAGAAUAAGCACCGGCUAACUACGUG